AGUGAACGCUGGCGGUAGGCCUAACACAUGCAAGUCGAACGGCAGCACAGUAAGAGCUUGCUCUUACGGGUGGCGAGUGGCGGACGGGUGAGGAAUACAUCGGAAUCUACUUUUUCGUGGGGGAUAACGUAGGGAAACUUACGCUAAUACCGCAUACGACCUACGGGUGAAAGCAGGGGAUCUUCGGACCUUGCGCGAUUGAAUGAGCCGAUGUCGGAUUAGCUAGUUGGCGGGGUAAAGGCCCACCAAGGCGACGAUCCGUAGCUGGUCUGAGAGGAUGAAUAGCCAAACUGGAAAUGAGACACGGUUCCAACUCCCAACGGAAGCAGGCGGUGGGAAUAUUGGGCCAUUGGGGGAAACCUGGUUCCGGCCUACCGCCGGGGGGGAGAAGGCCUUCGGGGUGGAAAGCCCCUUUGUUGGGAAAGAAAAGCAGCAGGUUAAUACCCCGCUGUUCUGACGGUACCCAAAGAAUAAGUACCGGCUAACUUCGUG
This 492-nucleotide ribosomal RNA is filed under the name uncultured bacterium. Its description in RNAcentral is "partial 16S ribosomal RNA". It matches the Rfam family "Bacterial small subunit ribosomal RNA", at positions 29 to 507 of the family's 1533-position model. The record is from RNAcentral.